GCUUAACACAUGCAAGUCGAACGAGAAGCUGUAGCAAUACAGUUGUACAGUGGCGAACGGGUGAGUAACACGUGGGUGACCUACCCUCGAGUGGGGAAUAACCCGCCGAAAGGCGGGCUAAUGCCGCGUACGCUUCCAGGUUUACGGAUCUGGAAGGAAAGCCGUAGCUAGGCUAUGGCGCUCAAGGAUGGGCUCACGUCCUAUCAGCUUGUUGGUAGGGUAACGGCCUACCAAGGCUCCGACGGGUAGCUGGUCUGAGAGGACGAUCAGCCACACUGGCACUGCGACACGGGCCAGACUCCUACGGGAGGCAGCAGUGAGGAAUAUUGCGCAAUGGGCGAAAGCCUGACGCAGCGACGCCGCGUGGGGGAUGAAGGUCUUCGGAUUGUAAACCCCUUUCGGGAGGGAAGAUGGUCCUAGACAACUAGGACGGACGGUACCUCCAGAAGCAGCCACGGCUAACUUCGUGCCAGCCGCCGCGGUAAUAC
RNAcentral lists this ribosomal RNA (488 nucleotides) under uncultured bacterium. RNAcentral describes it as "bacterial SSU rRNA". It matches the Rfam family "Bacterial small subunit ribosomal RNA", at positions 46 to 526 of the family's 1533-position model. The record is from RNAcentral.